AUUGGGUAGGGGAGCGUUCUGUAAGCCGUUGAAGGUGUGUUGUAAAGCAUGCUGGAGGUAUCAGAAGUGCGAAUGCUGACAUGAGUAACGACAAGGGGGGUGAAAAACCUCCCCGCCGGAAGACCAAGGGUUCCUGUCCAACGUUAAUCGGGGCAGGGUAAGUCGACCCCUAAGGCGAGGCCGAAAGGCGUAGUCGAUGGGAAACGGGUUAAUAUUCCCGUACUUCUUACAAUUGCGAUGGGGGGACGGAGAAGGCUAGGUGGGCCUGGCGACGGUUGUCCAGGUUCAAGUGCGUAGGCUGAGUGUUUAGGUAAAUCCGGACACUCUUAAGGCUGAGACACGACGUCGAGCUACUACGGUAGUGAAGUCAUUGAUGCCAUGCUUCCAGGAAAAGCCUCUAAGCUUCAGAUUGUAAGGAAUCGUACCCCAAACCGACACAGGUGGUCGGGUAGAGAAUACCAAGGCGCUUGAGAGAACUCGGGUGAAGGAACUAGGCAAAAUGGUACCGUAACUUCGGGAGAAGGUACGCUCUUGAUGGUGAAGUCCCUUGCGGAUGGAGCUGACGAGAGUCGCAGAUACCAGGUGGCUGCAACUGUUUAUUAAAAACACAGCACUGUGCAAAAUCGUAAGAUGACGUAUACGGUGUGACGCCUGCCCGGUGCCGGAAGGUUAAUUGAUGGGGUUAGCGUAAGCGAAGCUCUUGAUCGAAGCCCCGGUAAACGGCGGCCGUAACUAUAACGGUCCUAAGGUAGCGAAAUUCCUUGUCGGGUAAGUUCCGACCUGCACGAAUGGCGUAAUGAUGGCCACGCUGUCUCCACCCGAGACUCAGUGAAAUUGAAAUCGCUGUGAAGAUGCAGUGUACCCGCGGCUAGACGGAAAGACCCCGUGAACCUUUACUACAGCUUGGCACUGAACAUUGAACCUACAUGUGUAGGAUAGGUGGGAGGCUUUGAAGACGUGACGCCAGUUGCGUUGGAGCCGUCCUUGAAAUACCACCCUUGUAUGUUUGAUGUUCUAACGUUGGCCCCUAAUCGGGGUUGCGGACAGUGCCUGGUGGGUAGUUUGACUGGGGCGGUCUCCUCCCAAAGAGUAACGGAGGAGCACGAAGGUGGGCUAAUCACGGUUGGACAUCGUGAGGUUAGUGCAAUGGCAUAAGCCCGCUUAACUGCGAGAAUGACGGUUCGAGCAGGUGCGAAAGCAGGUCAUAGUGAUCCGGUGGUUCUGAAUGGAAGGGCCAUCGCUCAACGGAUAAAAGGUACUCCGGGGAUAACAGGCUGAUACCGCCCAAGAGUUCAUAUCGACGGCGGUGUUUGGCACCUCGAUGUCGGCUCAUCACAUCCUGGGGCUGAAGUCGGUCCCAAGGGUAUGGCUGUUCGCCAUUUAAAGUGGUACGCGAGCUGGGUUUAGAACGUCGUGAGACAGUUCGGUCCCUAUCUGCCGUGGGCGUUGGAAGAUUGAAGGGGGCUGCUCCUAGUACGAGAGGACCGGAGUGGACGAACCUCUGGUGUUCGGGUUGUGUCGCCAGACGCAUUGCCCGGUAGCUAAGUUCGGAAUCGAUAACCGCUGAAAGCAUCUAAGCGGGAAGCGAGCCCUGAGAUGAGUCUU
RNAcentral lists this ribosomal RNA (1605 nucleotides) under Vibrio vulnificus. RNAcentral's name for it is "partial 23S ribosomal RNA". It matches the Rfam family "Bacterial large subunit ribosomal RNA", at positions 1223 to 2812 of the family's 2925-position model. The record is from RNAcentral. Lineage: Bacteria; Pseudomonadati; Pseudomonadota; Gammaproteobacteria; Vibrionales; Vibrionaceae.